RNAcentral lists this ribosomal RNA (253 nucleotides) under uncultured bacterium. Its description in RNAcentral is "partial 16S ribosomal RNA". It matches the Rfam family "Bacterial small subunit ribosomal RNA", at positions 524 to 776 of the family's 1533-position model. The record is from RNAcentral.
UACGUAGGUGGCAAGCGUUGUCCGGAAUUAUUGGGCGUAAAGCGCGCGCAGGCGGCCUCUUAAGUCUGAUGUGAAAGCCCCCGGCUCAACCGGGGAGGGCCAUUGGAAACUGGGAGGCUUGAGUAUAGGAGAGAAGAGUGGAAUUCCACGUGUAGCGGUGAAAUGCGUAGAGAUGUGGAGGGACACCAGUGGCGAAGGCGACUCUUUGGCCUAUAACUGACGCUGAGGCGCGAAAGCGUGGGGAGCAAACAGG